This is a long non-coding RNA of Helicoverpa armigera (cotton bollworm), 715 nucleotides long. RefSeq lists it as uncharacterized. The record is from RefSeq and is a predicted model, not a curated record. The transcript has 2 exons. Lineage: Eukaryota; Metazoa; Arthropoda; Insecta; Lepidoptera; Noctuidae.
UCUUUGGCUUGCUUUCCAUCACGCGAAGAAAAAAAAAUCUAUUUAAUUGUCACAAUGACACUUAUUCUUAAAUACAUUCAAUGAUAUAUUUUUAUAUUUUAUUUAAAUGGAAAAAUAGCUAAAAUGGAAAUAACUAACAGCAAAACAUCACAGAAACAUGGUUCUGGGGAUGACCAAAAUAAACAAAGCGAUGAACAACCAACCACUUCCCGGGAGGAUGACUUCACUCCCGAACAAAAUUCACACAACAUGAAUGAUUUCAAUGCCUUAGACUUCAAUUCCGCCGAUGAAAUCAGACAAACAAUGAAAGCAGUUUUAACCGGAAAAUUGCCACCGCAGUCCUUUAGCGAAGAGGCCAAUCAUUUUCAAGCAGUAAAAAGAAACCCAGAGCCAAACGUCAAAAUUAACGAAAACAAUAGUACUGCUGAUGGACACAAGACCGUUCAGCGUCAGGUACAGCAGAAUUUGUACCAAAAAAUGAAGUCUACAGCUCGGGCCUGGACGUACAAGGCACAACGCUUUGGAACGUCCCGGCUCAAGAAAACUGGGCGGCCACCGACUGCGGGUCCAUCUAAAACAAUCCGCAAGCCCAAGCUUUCGUCUAUGUAUUUAGGAAAAUUGGCUAAUGUUGUCCCCUUCACACGCCGACGGCACGGAUCCAGCGAGUCUGAUGUAGAAUCUGUAGUUAUAUUUUAUUAAACGUUUUGGACUUCAA